Molecule: ribosomal RNA, 253 nt
Filed under: Faecalibacterium prausnitzii
Lineage: Bacteria; Bacillati; Bacillota; Clostridia; Eubacteriales; Oscillospiraceae
Description: partial 16S ribosomal RNA
Rfam family: Bacterial small subunit ribosomal RNA
Source: RNAcentral
AACGUAGGUCACAAGCGUUGUCCGGAAUUACUGGGUGUAAAGGGAGCGCAGGCGGGAAGACAAGUUAGAAGUGAAAUCUAUGGGCUCAACCCAUAAACUGCUUUCAAAACUGUUUUUCUUGAGUAGUGCAGAGGUAGGCGGAAUUCCCGGUGUAGCGGUGGAAUGCGUAGAUAUCGGGAGGAACACCAGUGGCGAAGGCGGCCUACUGGGCACCAACUGACGCUGAGGCUCGAAAGUGUGGGUAGCAAACAGG